This is a long non-coding RNA of Equus caballus (horse), 1579 nucleotides long. NCBI's taxonomy places the organism in Eukaryota, Metazoa, Chordata, Mammalia, Perissodactyla, Equidae. The record is from Ensembl.
CCUGCUGUCCCGCUGCCUCUGCCCCGUGCUCUCGGGGGAUCGUGUCUCCCUGGCUGUGGGGGAAGCUGAGCAUGGAGUCAGACAUCACUGCCUGAGCCAAGGAAAAAGUAUUUCAGAGGAAUGGAAAGCCUCCCUCGACCCACCAAAGAAAUGCCACAGAACCUGCCUCUUCCAGACAGUACCGUCCCAAAGAGAGACCCUUCCAGCUUUAGACAAAGUUCCAGUUCACAAACCUCUCUCUCAGCCUCCACCAUCAAGUCAUGCUCUCAGCAAGGUUUGCAGACUGACCCAGGAGACCAUGGGAGAAAAGCGAACGGUAGGGCUGCCCCUUGCUGCCCUGCUUUCCUACAGGCUAACAGCCACUGCAGGAGGCCCAGGCCCUGGGACUUUUCAGCUGUCCGCCAGCCGGCCUGCCAGUCCAGAAGGGUCUCCGUCUCAGUGGCAGUAAAUAGACCUGCGCGCCUUGCUCGGGUUGUGUGUUCUUGGAGUGGGGAUCAUUCCCUGACCCCAGUGCCUGAAUACGCACACAUUCGCUCCUUUAGCUAAGAGCUCAGGCCCGGUGUUCAAUCUUUGCAAGAACUUAAUACAGUGGACCCCUCUCCUAACCUAAGACCUCGAUGCAUGAAGGUCCCUCCUUCCCAGAUGAGACGGAGCCUCGACAUGACUCCACACAGAAGUGCUCCCUAGGAGAUCCCAGUGUUAGAAGGAACUGACCUUUACUUCUGUUUCCCUUUGGACAGGGAACUGGAGAAGCAGUUUGGUUCUCUUGGACUUUUUUGUUUUCCCUUUAGGACCUCAAGUUCCCUCUGACAGUGCACCAUUCUGGUAAGCUGGGCUUUACACGUCCCCUGUUCGACUCGCCCAAGCCCCCAAAAUUCAAAACUCACUUCCCAAACAUGCAGAAGGCAACCAAAACAACAAGGUGAGAUUGUCGAGAACAAAAGCAUCCAAGUCCUGAAGCAGGUUUUAGAGUGGCUGCCCUGCAGAUUCGCUUUCUGCAGGUUUCCUGACCUGCGCUCUGGCUUCAGCCACAUCCAGAAGUAGUCCAAGCUCCUUUCUGAGGGGAGAAAAUGGCAAACCGGCUUCGGAGUCACGGAGGAAACCCGAGAGAUAAGGUAGGUUUCAUGCUUGUUUUCCAAGCUCUGUUCUCCCAAAUGCCCCAGCAUCGUGCACUUCUGUAAGCCCCAGCUGCAGGCUCGCCUCAGGGACGAUUUUCCUUUGUGUGCCAAGUUGAAGGGAGCACUGAAAAGGUCAGCUCUCUGGAUUCGUACAUUUUAAGGGAGUAUUUAAAACUCAAGACGAAUGCACAAGAAUCCCACGACGACCAAAUGAUCACAGUUUGAAAUAAAGGCAAGAUCCCACCGCGCACUCGCACCACGGUGCCUCCGUCUCCUCGCCCUGAUCUCCAUCCCGAUGCAACAGAAGGUUCUUUACCAAAACAGACGCGCAGCCCCGGUUUCCUGACUGGACUCCCUUAGGGACGGCCUGCAGGUAUUUCCCUUGAUGCCCUGGAGGCAUCGCCCCCACCUCAGGCUCCAGGGCGGGCAGACGCCAGUGGCUGGAGCCCCCUGGGGAGCUC